UAACCCAAAACCCGGCCCACAUCUCUAUUUUCGCUUUCCCUUAAGCAACCGACAACAACAGCAAUACAUCACCAGCCUUAAUAGCGUAUAACGCUGUACAACAACAAUUCAACAACGUACAGCAGUAACAAAAAUCACCACAAGAGCGUUCAAUAUCAACAAACCCGCAACAGCAAUAAACAACGACCACACCAGCUGCAGGCAAACGCAUUCCAGCAAACCAAAGUUGACCCGACCCGGCGCGAACACCAAAAAUUCAACCGAGCAAACCUCUCUCACUAUCUUAUCUCUGCAUUUUGCAGACCUAGGCCAUCUUUGUUGACUUUAGACUCAAGAUUGUGUGUCUUCAAUUUCAAAAUUUAAUUCAAAUCAGAAGAUAUCUGUUCAAAUUCAAAAUUUAAGGAUAUGUUUUUCUAUUUUUAAAGAUGGAAAAUUAAGAUCUUCCCCUAUUGGGAUUGAGGGGAAGAAGGCAAGGGAAGAUUUUUUGGGGAAAAAUUUGGAGAUUUUGAAGGAGCGUUCCUUUAAUCCCACGUAACCGAAAAUCCGUCAAAGCCAUUUAAAUUCCAGGGAAAAUCGAGUUAAAGUCGGAUUCUUUGAAGUCGCCGUCGUUAACUCGUUGCUUCAGUUCCUGCGGCUAAAAAGGUAAUACUUCCUCUAUUCUCGUUUUAUGCACUCACUGUUUAUUUGAUUUUGUUUGAAUCUGGUCUGUUAGUUUGAGUGCGAUUUGGUGUUUGGAUUAGUUUUUGAGGUGAUGGGUUUGACUGUUAGAAUGGAAUAGUGAGAAUCUGAAUGCAAACUCCCCUUUUGUGCUUCAUGAUUUUUACUGCGCAAUUUCUAGUUUGUUUGAGCCGUGAUUUCUGAUAGUAAUUCUUUCUUGUUGUUAAUAACAUUUAGACUCUUUUGGGAGAUUCUGGAUUAUUAUUAUGUUGUUCGUAGUGUUGGAUUUCGUGGUAGUGCGAAAAUGAGACUAGCUGCUUAGCUUAAGUUGUUCUAUAGAUUUAGAUUUUGAUGAAUUCUUGUGCGAUCUUCUUGUGUGCCAAGUACUUUAUUCCCUUGAAGUAGCUUGAAUAGCUUCCUUAUUAGAAGUUGGUACCUGGCAGUAAUAGAGGUUUUCUUUGUAUAUUGACUUUUGUUGAGAUUAUUAUCUGGGAACUAUUCUACUUUUCUUUUCUGCAUAUUGUAGCAAAGGUUUGACAUCAAUUUGAUUGUGUUCGAAAACAAUACAUGCUUUUGAAGUGAUAAAUUGUCUAUAUUAGCUCGUUUACAAAAAUUUUACCAGUGUAUCAAAGAAAUAUCAAGCUUGCAUUUUGUUUUCCUCUUUUAUCACCCAACUAUAACAUCUCCUUACCCAAUUUAUUAAUGAAAUAUGCUAAAAUGUCUCUCUUCGAUGUAAAGUAUAUUAAAGGGAUAUGAACAAAGGUCAUAAUUUGCAUUGUAAUUACAUAUCAUGAAUUUAUGUCUCAUGGCGAACAAAAGUGCACUAGUUUCGUCUCCCUUCUUUCGGUUAAUUCUUAUUGUAUGUUUGUAUGGAUACUAAUCCUUAUCUCAUUUUUUUUUGCAUGAACUCCCUCGUUUGAGUUUUUUGGACUCUUUCCUUGCAUCUUCAUUGGGUCCAACCCAACAUCGAGUCAAAACCUCAAGGCAAAGUCCUAAAAGGACUUUUCUUUACACUGGUAUACAGUGAUAUAGCAUUAGAGAGGCUGGUAUAGGGUAUAUGCGGCUGGAAACGGAAAAGAAAGCCGAUAUAUGGUUGGAGGGCUGAAAUUGUACAUACACGACUGAAAAUAUGGUCUGGAGGGCUGAAAUUGUACAUACACGACUGAAAAUAUGGUCUUGUAUACACCGUAUAUACACAUGAAAAAUGCAGAAAAAUACGGAUGGUAUACAUGUGGUAUACACUGCAGGAGAAUGGACCCAAAAGUUCAUAAAAUAAGAAGCCCAAAGGCUUGGCAGCUCAUUAAUAGGCCAACAAGUGGCCCAAUUCUAACUUUAAUCUCUUAUUUGCUUAUGAAUUGCAAUUUAUAUACUUGUCUAUUUAUAUUAGCACCAAUUUUACUUAAUUAGCCUAGUGAUUUUCCACGUUGUUGCCGUUUUGAUUUGUCUCAAAUUCCUCGUUUAUUUUAUGACUUUUCUCUCGUAAAUCAUAAAAAGAAAAAAAAAAAGAGUACUUUAGUACAAAAAAUGACAUUUGUUUUGAUCGUAUGAUUAAUGGUCCACUUGAGUUAAAAAUAAUUUUCUUAGUCAAUUCUCUUCUUAUGAAUCCUAACUUCUCACCGUAAUUGAGAAAAUGUUUUUAACAUGAUACUUAUCCAAUAAAAAUGAUCAUUUCUAUGAUAAUAAUAAACAUAAUUCUCUUCUUUAAUCCAAUUGGGCCACCUAGUUUAAAUAUAUUUUUUCUUAAUUCCAGAGAAAAUAAUAUUUCAUAAUUUUUUAGAAAUAAUUAUGAAUUAAGUAGAAUAUUUCUCAACUAAAGCAUUCCUAGAAUAUUUCUCAACUAAAGCAUUCCUUGAUUUUGUUUUCUCAAAUCCUAACUUUUCG
RNAcentral lists this long non-coding RNA (2538 nucleotides) under Capsicum annuum. Its description in RNAcentral is "long non-coding RNA (CANN_LNC001655)". The record is from RNAcentral. Lineage: Eukaryota; Viridiplantae; Streptophyta; Magnoliopsida; Solanales; Solanaceae.